Molecule: long non-coding RNA, 5030 nt
Organism: Pelodiscus sinensis (Chinese soft-shelled turtle)
Lineage: Eukaryota; Metazoa; Chordata; Testudines; Trionychidae
Source: RefSeq, a predicted model, not a curated record
UUUACUGACUUCAGGAGUGGAAGGACAUGUGGCCACCACUCACCUCCUGAUUUAUCCAAUGCUCUAUCUAGUCCCAGAUUUAAAAUCUGGAAUAGAACUGUUUAUGGGCGGAGGCCUGCAUUGAGGAAAAAAACCCAGUGAGCUUUAGGAGGCACUAGACCUCUGCUGGAGGAAUCCUAUAGGCUAGAACUUUAACCUAACUAUUUGUCACUUGCAAAUGCACAUGCACACACACACACACGCACACACAUCCCUCUAAUGUUAGGAUGUUAAGGAACAAUUUUGAGUCACUCCAAAUUUUCUACCAAAAAUCUUUUAGCCCAAGAUUUAGCUAACUAGGGAUGAUAUGAUGAUUUUUAUAGCAAGGACCAAAACUGAGCUUACAAUACAAACUGUUACACCUUUAACUAGGGAGUACAGUUGUGUGGUUGCUCCAUAUACUCUGUCCUUCACUACUUCCUGCUCAGAUCUGAACACCCUCUAAUUCCUGUCCAAAAAUUUAAAACAAAUUGUUUUAUACAAACAUUAGUAAUCUGGAUAGAAUUCUCUGCAUACGGCUGGAGAACUGAAAAGAGAUAGUGGUAACAAACAGCUACAACUGACAAUUUUCCCAGCUGUCAGUUGAUGCGGGAGGAGAUGUGGAGUAAAAGAAGGGAAGUGAAGACCUGCUAUUUGUACUGCACCAAAAACAAAAAAACACAAAAGACAAAACAAGUAAAAUAUUUGGGGAAAUUGAGGUAGCCAUGACAUCUCAUAAUUGAACAGUAAAAAAAAAAAAAAAACCACACAAAAUCAUUUUCCAUUCAGUAAUUAAUCAAAAAACAAAAAGGGUCACUUCAUCCCAUUUCAUUUUAUAUACAUUUAUAUUCCGAGGCAUUACAUUUUCUUCCCUAGCAUAUGUUCAGGUUCUAGCUAUGAGAUUAUCUAUAGCUGACACCAUGAUGACCUGCUGUAGCUUUUUAAGAAGGGAAAGUUGCAAUGCAAUACCAAAAUUUUAAUCACAGUAUCUAAUUAAUUAAAGUGUAGAAUGAGUCACUGUGUCUAAAAGCAAAUAAACAAAAUAGAAGCUGCUGCUGUGACAAUCUAAUAGAUAGGUAUUGUAGGUUAAAGACAGGAAACUCCCUGAUCAUACACACAUGCUGUGCAAGAGACUUUCAAAACUUGGGGUUAACAGUGAUUAACACAGCACUAAACAGUGUUAUAAGAAUACAGCAAAAGCAUAAAUGACACUUUUUGGUUAGCAUUAAAAUGCUGAACUGCAUUGUUUUGUCUUAAAAACUUACUCCCUAACAGAAGGAGUAAGUCUCAUCUAGCAGUAAAAUGGAAGCUCCUAUUGACUGUUUUUAUACUGGCCUUUAAAUAGAAUUCAGCAAUAAUAUUUGAAUAUUAGCCUAGCUGGCUGUUUAACUGGCUAUUGUGGCCAGAACCAAGUUGUUUAAAGACUGCAGCCAGACCCAAAUUAGUAUAUUUAAACAGUUAAUUGGAAUUCAAGUCCAGUAUUGUUGGCCUGAGAACCAAGCAUCAUCCACCAUGAAUGAGAUACUCAGUGACAAACAUUUCUAAAAACAAUGAACAUUCGUUUUAAGAGAUAUUUAGUAAAUAAAACUGGCUAAACAACUGGGCACCAAGCUUCAUGAAUGAGAAGUAUAGACAGUUAUAUACUACAGACUGUACCUCCCUUAACUGGACUCCCCCCUGGACCAGAGCCCAGGAACAGGAAGGUCUGGCGAUGGAGCAGGAGCACGGUUCUGGAAAUCCUAUCCAGGCUUGCAAUAAAGAGUGCUUUCCAGUGGCUAUACAGGACUGCCCAGGACAGAAAAUCUCUAACUUCAACAUUUCCAAAAAAUAGUUCAUUCAAUUUUAAGAUGAUGGAUUUAUCUCUAGCUGCUCUUCUGUGCUCCUACAAAAUAUAGGAGCUACAAAGUCUUCAAUCUGGGCAUAUUUCUUAGCCUAGGAAUAAAAAUCCAAAAGUUGCCUCAACACAAGACACACACUUUUUCUACUUACAAGGUUACGGCUGUCAAGUGACUUCCUGCUUCCAAAAAUACAACUGCACUGAAAUGAACUGGGGAUAUAAGCUUUAAAAAUAUACCUUUAGAAAAGGUGCAAAAAUCUUCUUAUAAGUAAAAAUAACCAAACUCAUUUCAGCAAAUGGUAUUAAACUUCUCUCCACUUAAGAAUAAAUAUUGGAUAUCCACCAGCCUAAGGAAGUGUGUUUUGUUUUGUAAGAAAUUGUCUUUGAAAAGUUGUUUCCAAUAGUAAUGUUCACCAUCAACUACAGCAGAUGUAAAAUUUCUAGCUGUCUUCAUUGAAAUCCUGGAGUUAUGAAGUGAAGCUGGAUUAGAGGGUCUUUAACGGUCUUCUAAAUUAAAAUUUGUUUGGCAUAUAGGUUAAAAGAACUACAUGACUGACAGGAAUUUAGAAUAUUGCCUUGACAGCAAGACCACAGUGUCCCCAUUAUUCUUACUGUGUAAGCAUCUGCAUACAUGCAUUUUUGCAUAGCAUUCUAAAAAGCCUACCACUCAUUUCUACAUUGUAGGUAAUGUGUGGGGGAGGUGCAGACAUGCAGCCACAUCACGCCUACUGCCACUUUCCUUUAUAUAGUACUGCUUAGUACACCCCAUGCAGCCAGCAAAUUUUGUAGACCUAUGUAGGUGCAGGGCAUGAUCAAGCUCUCUGGAACAUUAUGCACCCAUCAAGGAGUAGGGACAGCAAUUCUCCCUGGCUUAGCCAUGCAGGCUUGCAUACAGGCCAGGCAUAAUUUGCCUCAGUGUAAACAUAGAUAUAAGAAUAAAACAAACUGAUCCAUUUAAGUUACCACAUUAGUGUACACAAAUGCUGGCAUUUUCUACUAUGUAAGAGAUUGCAUUCAUUAAAACAGCAAAAUAAAGCACUUGUUCCACUCCAUUAGUAUAAAAUUCCUUUUGCAAUAUUUUUAGUUAAUUUCACACAAGUUUUAAGCCGUUCAGUCCUAAAUCACAAAACCUGUAAGACUAGAAACCACUAUUCUUAAAGCUUGCUUCUGUCUCCAAAGGUAUCUUGUGGUCUGUCAGUGUAGUUUGCGGGCACGCAUGUCAAUGCUAAUCUUUCGUACCACUCCUGUAAUCUAGGUAACACAUUUAAGCCUUGCAACAUCCAACAGGAAGCAGACACAGCUGCUGUGUAAUACAUACAAAGUGACUGAGUAUACUGAGACCGUGCAUAACAUACACUCAGGAGUUAGGUAGUUUAUAAAUCAUUUAAUUCCAUUCAGUUUGAAUUCAGAGUGAACAAGGGGUAGCAAGAAUCAUUGAAACACUGGCCAAAGUGUACACAGUAUAGUCCAUAGGUAUUUUAUGAGAGACUGGAGGACAGCAUCCAGGUCUAGACAUUUACUCUGCUGGUUUUCCUUAAACCCUCAAUUUUACUAAAGUUGCUCAGAAAAACCUAUACUAGCCCACUCUUUUCAUGCAUCAUUUCUCAAUAAAUGAACUAUUAAAGUACAAGGCGCCAAAGAAAGCAACAGCCACUAAUAUCAGGAUUUCCUCUUGAUUUGUGAACAUAUUUGCAAAUGUUGCAUUCACAUGCCAUAAUCUUAGUGUCAGCCCACUGCAAGUCAGGGUGGCCAAGUAUUCUAAUCUUAGUUUCUACCUACUGCACUAUUACGGACCCUACUGAGUCAAAGGGUAGCUUCCAAAUGGCCCUAUGGCUUACAUGAUAUCCAUCCCCUAUGUUCCCUCAAAACUACAUAAAGUCCUAUCCAGAGUUCUGUAAGAGAAGAGAGGAUUAAUCUGAAAAUGAAUUUUAAGAGAUUAGACACAUUUCAUUGUUAGGGUACUGGUGCCUUUCAAAAUACAUUGCCAGAAAUAGCGUAACCUAACAUGGCGUGUGUUGCUGGAGUUCAGAAGCACAUUACUUACGUCAUUUCUUUUUGGGAGGCAGGAAAGGGGAGUCAGACCUGUGUGUGUUUCCCCUCCCCCACUACAGCCAGGUGAACAAAAGUUUAUUUUGUACAUUGUAGCACAGUAGGGUCAUACAACACACCACAAAAAAGUCCAAGGCUAGAAUAUUAUGUUUAUCACCCACUAAGCUAGCAGAAGUUGGAACUUCUGUAGAGAGAGCUCUGAGAACAAAGAAAAUGGAAGCUUUUUGCAGAGAGAAGUGGCUUGGAUCAAGAGAAGAAAAAUGGCAUAUUGGUAAAGAGUGAUAUCUAUUAGUUAAAUCAAGGGGAUACUUAUCAAGGGAUACUUACAGCUCUAAAGAAAGCUUGGUUCAAAAUUCCAGUCUGACAGGAAAGUGAUAAAGUCCAAAAUGCCUCCAGAUUUUUUACACUCUCCAAACCUUCAAAUCUUUGAGAAAAGUGGUCAAAUUAGGCGACCAUUGAAGUGAUCUGCUCCGCAAGGAUAGAAGAAUCGCACCCACUGUCAUCGGACAAUGUAAAUUCAGAUGUUUUUCACUGUCAGUGUUCCAAGCAAUUUUAAAGUAUUUUAAAAGUGGAAGGCAGAAAGUCUUUGCUUUGGAUAGUAGAAAAAAAGUCAGUGACCCUUCCUGGGAUUCUGUUGUACAGAAUAAUCACAGUCUGUGUUGCUGGAGUUUAGGGGGAUAGCUUUCAUUCACAAAGUCAAUAGUUGGCAAUAUGUUUUUACUGUAAAUAUCAAAGUAAUUCAUGAAGGAAGCUUUUUUACAUUACAGAUUGGUAAAUGAUUUCUAUAUUAGUGAACUCAGUUUAAGUAAUAAAAUGUUAGUUGCUGUGAAAGAAUUUAAUGGAAAUUUCAACAUAUAUCCAACCUUUUUAUUAUAAUUAACAGUAUUGUACAAUUUUCAACUGCAGGUUGAACCUCCCUGAUCCAGCACUCUUGGGGCCUGAGGUGUCCCAGAUGAGAGAAUUUGCCAGAUCAGUGGAGGUCUUACACCGGCUCUCAGCCCCCACUGCCCUCUCCUUCGGCCUGGCUGAAGUGCCUGCUGGUCAACGCCAGCCCUACUUCUGGCCAGGUGGCACACGGCCCUGACUGGGCUGCUGCAGCCCCAGCUCCACUGCCAAGUGGCACGCA